AGGUAUUCCCCCCAGGAACGCAAGUUUCAGACAUCAAGAAUGUUCUUGUGGUUUAUUAUCUAGGCCCAUACGAUUACUAAACAUUUACUUUGCUAGUUGAAGUAUGAGUCAUGUAGAGUACAGUCUAUUCACCUUAUUUCCAACGGAAAUAUGGACGUAGUCUGUUUAGUUUUUUUGUGUGGGUGACUUCCGGUUAAGCACUUCCGGACAACAGUUAGCUAGCAAGUUACAUAUCUCACUGUCGCUUCUUACAGCUUCCCAAAUAUGGACUCACGAAAAACAGGCAUUUUAUGAUCGGUAAGGGGAUGCCACAAUAACUGGCAGAAACGGAAGCUGUUCAUGGAACAGGAGUGUUUUGACCGCCUAACUUUUUUGAGAGGGUAGUGCAGUUGUGAGGCGCCUUUUGAUUUGCACCCGCCUCCUAAGGGCGAGUAGUCUCAUAGGAUUUGGCUCAGAGCUUUGAACUUGAAGAAACCUCCAAACAUAAAUAAAAAUAAAAUUAAACCUCCAAACCGACCCUAUAUGUGUUCCUAUCACUUCGUGGACAAGAUGCCGACUGAAGAGCAUCCUUUCACUGAGAAGUGGCUGGGCUAUGAUGCUCCAGUACAGAUCAGAAGGCGACAUCUCAUCAGUACAUCAACACAUACAGGUACAGUAGCUGUUAGCUAGCUGCUAACGUUACUCGCUAGCUAUCGUCACAGAUAAGGUAUCCUGAAUCAGGCAGACGUUAGCUAGCUUAGCUAACUGUGUUAGUAGUACGUAGGUAGCCAUUCCUAAGUCCUAACAUACUGUAGCAAGCUAACUGUUGCCUAGUUUACUUACUUAGCUUGGGGGCAGCCCAUCUGAUGUUGUUGCUAGCUAAUUAGCUCAUCCCCUACAUUGUCAGACAGAAGUUGUUGGAUAACUAACAAUGUCUCACCAAUGCAAUAAUUAUCCCCAUCAUUGCUGGCAUUCCACUGGUGAUGCUCAUGAAAUGUCUAGCUAGCUAAAUUAUUAAACGUUCAAAUUGUUUUCUUUCUUUUAACCUAACCAUAACCAGUAGGCUGUCUGUGGAUUUUAUUUUGUUAAACUUGUGGUCUCUCUUAUACUCAAUGGGAAUGUUCCAGCACUGACUGAUCACAGCUAAGUGUCAAGAGAACCAGUCAACAAGCCCACCUGCCACUAACAAACCCAAUGUGGUGGUGCAGAGUCAUUGACCCACACCAUCCUGAAGAAUGACACUAGCUCAGUGUUGGAUACUGGCCUUCCUCUUAGUGUUUUCUUUGACCAUGUAGCAUUUCUGCAGAAAUUAUACACGGCUAACUUAAAAAUGCAUAUCACUGAUCAAAUACUGAUAACCUUGAUGAAGCUGAAUUGACUCCACAGUGAUCUUGCUGAACACUUUGCUGUGUCCCAGGGAGUAGUGAGCAGAGUCAUUUUCUACUGGAUUGAGACAAUGGAGGAGCUCAUGAGGAUCUACAUUCCAUGGCAGCUGAGAGGCAGAUGCAGUGACAAGUUCAUCACCCAAAACUCUGGCUUCCUGGAAUACCUUAGGCCUGGCAAUGAAGUAAUGGCUGACGGGCUUCACCAUCCGAGAUCUGCUGUAUGAGAGUAAGGUAAACCUUGCCAUACCAGCCUUCACCCAGAAAGGAGGACAGCUGUCUGACGAGGAUGUCGCAAGCACAAGAAGGAUAGCUAAUGUGCAUAUACAUGUUGAGAGAGUUAUCAGACUCAAGGUGUUCAAAUCCUCUCCCAGACUGUGUCCAUUUUUUGUGUCAGGUUGAUGGGAAAAGUCCUUAGAAUCUGUGCAGCACUUGUUAACAUGCAGAGUGAGAUCAUCCAUGAGGAUGCAGAAUGAGCAGUGAGAAUGUUCAUACAUUUGAAAUGUAACUUUAAACACUAUAAUUUCAUCCACCAGAGAUACUAUGUGUGUGUGUAUGUAUAUAUAUAUAUAUAUAUAUAUAUAUUAGUUUAAUCUGAAUGAUUUGUUCCUAUAUUUGAAAUGUACUGUAACUUUGACUGUUCCUGAUAAUUACAGGCAUCCACUAGGUGCUGCUAUAAUGCCUUUUUAAAUCUAUUUCAAAUACAUUUUCUUCAACACAAAUGUCACUAACAGACCAAGAGGGAAGACAAAUGUUUGUCAAGUGACACAAUUUUUCUUAAUUUGUGCCCUUGAAAACCAAACCCAGAAUCAAACUGAAAACACUUUUGAAUACUUUAGACAUGCCUCCUCAUCUUUCUUUUCAAAAUGGUAAGUAUCAAAGAAAAUGUCAAUGUGGAAUUUCUUGUUUUUAUUAACUCCGUAAUUUGCUAAGUGCAAGAUGAGUUACGGUAUGCUUAGAUAAGUUAACGAAGUGCCGUAUGCAAAAAGAGCUAUACAAGGUACGAUUAAAAUAUUCAUAAAUCAGAA
Long non-coding RNA from Salvelinus fontinalis (brook trout), 2389 nucleotides. RefSeq lists it as uncharacterized. The record is from RefSeq and is a predicted model, not a curated record. The transcript has 2 exons. NCBI's taxonomy places the organism in Eukaryota, Metazoa, Chordata, Actinopteri, Salmoniformes, Salmonidae.